AACACAUGCAAGUCGAACGAUGAACCACUUCGGUGGGGAUUAGUGGCGAACGGGUGAGUAACACGUGGGCAAUCUGCCCUUCACUCUGGGACAAGCCCUGGAAACGGGGUCUAAUACCGGAUACAACACUCUCGGGCAUCCGAUGAGUGUGGAAAGCUCCGGCGGUGAAGGAUGANCCCGCGGCCUAUCAGCUUGUUGGUGAGGUAACGGCUCACCAAGNCGACGACGGGUAGCCGGCCUGAGAGGGCGACCGGCCACACUGGGACUGAGACACGGCCCAGACUCCUACGGGAGGCAGCAGUGGGGAAUAUUGCACA
This 317-nucleotide ribosomal RNA is filed under the name Streptomyces sp. 1034. RNAcentral's name for it is "bacterial SSU rRNA". It matches the Rfam family "Bacterial small subunit ribosomal RNA", at positions 50 to 370 of the family's 1533-position model. The record is from RNAcentral. Lineage: Bacteria; Bacillati; Actinomycetota; Actinomycetes; Kitasatosporales; Streptomycetaceae.